This 1138-nucleotide ribosomal RNA is filed under the name Flavobacterium sp. RNAcentral's name for it is "bacterial SSU rRNA". It matches the Rfam family "Bacterial small subunit ribosomal RNA", at positions 66 to 1214 of the family's 1533-position model. Lineage: Bacteria; Pseudomonadati; Bacteroidota; Flavobacteriia; Flavobacteriales; Flavobacteriaceae. The record is from RNAcentral.
GGUAGGGUUCUUCGGAACCUGAGACCGGCGCACGGGUGCGUAACGCGUAUGCAAUCUACCUUUUACAGAGGGAUAGCCCAGAGAAAUUUGGAUUAAUACCUCAUAGUAUAUAGACUCGGCAUCGAGAUUAUAUUAAAGUCACAACGGUAAAAGAUGAGCAUGCGUCCCAUUAGCUAGUUGGUAAGGUAACGGCUUACCAAGGCUACGAUGGGUAGGGGUCCUGAGAGGGAGAUCCCCCACACUGGUACUGAGACACGGACCAGACUCCUACGGGAGGCAGCAGUGAGGAAUAUUGGACAAUGGGCGCAAGCCUGAUCCAGCCAUGCCGCGUGCAGGAUGACGGUCCUAUGGAUUGUAAACUGCUUUUAUACGAGAAGAAACACUCCAACGUGUUGGAGCUUGACGGUAUCGUAAGAAUAAGGAUCGGCUAACUCCGUGCCAGCAGCCGCGGUAAUACGGAGGAUCCAAGCGUUAUCCGGAAUCAUUGGGUUAAAAGGGUCCGUAGGCGGUUUAAUAAGUCAGUGGUGAAAGCCCAUCGCUCAACGGUGGAACGGCCAUUGAUACUGUUAAACUUGAAUUUAUUAGGAAGUAACUAGAAUAUGUAGUGUAGCGGUGAAAUGCUUAGAGAUUACAUGGAAUACCAAUUGCGAAGGCAGGUUACUACUAAUGGAUUGACGCUGAUGGACGAAAGCGUGGGUAGCGAACAGGAUUAGAUACCCUGGUAGUCCACGCCGUAAACGAUGGAUACUAGCUGUUGGAAGCAAUUUCAGUGGCUAAGCGAAAGUGAUAAGUAUCCCACCUGGGGAGUACGUUCGCAAGAAUGAAACUCAAAGGAAUUGACGGGGGCCCGCACAAGCGGUGGAGCAUGUGGUUUAAUUCGAUGAUACGCGAGGAACCUUACCAAGGCUUAAAUGUAGAUUGACCGUUUUGGAAACAGAACUUUCGCAAGACAAUUUACAAGGUGCUGCAUGGUUGUCGUCAGCUCGUGCCGUGAGGUGUCAGGUUAAGUCCUAUAACGAGCGCAACCCCUGUUGUUAGUUGCCAGCGAGUCAAGUCGGGAACUCUAACAAGACUGCCAGUGCAAACUGUGAGGAAGGUGGGGAUGACGUCAAAUCAUCACGGCCCUUACGCCUUGGGC